AGAGGUUAUACAAAAUAUAUUUGUUUUUAGGUUAGUGUUCCUUUUGCAUCAUGAUUAGACGAAUUGACUAGUUAAGACUUUGUACCGAAAACCAAGGAUUUUAAUGUUUACUGAAAUGUGUUGUUCUGUGUUGGUCCGGGUAGGGCUUAGUAGAUAUGCGUUACGUUGUGACAAGUGAGUCGGCUUGGUUUAUAUCUGUUUAAUAGCUUUAAUUUUAUAGUACUUUACUGGCGAUGAGGUUAGUGGAGAUAAUAUACCCUGUUUUCCUUGAUAGUGUAAGAUAAGGUUAAAACUACCUUUUUUUAGUGAGUUUAUUACAAAUCUUUUAAUAAGGGAUGAUGAUGGGUUAUCUAAGGAGGCUGUUCUUUUAAGUUAAUAUUAUGUUUAAUGUAUAUGUUUAAAUAAGUAAUAGUUAAUACCCGUUGUAUUGUUUCUCAAAAGUUGCCCGUCUGUUUAUUAAAAACAUUUCCAUACCGAAUAAUGUAUGGUAGUGCCUGCUCUAUGUUAUAAUAAAUGGCCGCAGUAUCUUGACUGUGCGAAGGUAGCAUAAUUAAUUGCCUCAUAAUUGGGGGCUUGUUUGAAUGGUUUGACGCGGUAAUGGUUAAACAUUAUGGGUGUACUUGAAAUUACUUUAGAGGGCACAGAAGCCUCUGUAUUUAAUUAGACGGAAAGACCCCGGGAUCUUUGUAUUUUGCUUGGGGCAAGUCAGAGUGUUUCACUUUAAUUAAGACCCUUUUUGGUUUAGUGAGCUAAGUUACCCCGGGGAUAACAGUGUAAUAGUCUAUUAGAGACCUUAUCGAUUAGAUUGUUUGUUACCUCGAUGUUGACUUAGGUUAUAAUUUGUGCGCAGUAGCUCAAGUUUUAGGUCUGUUCGACCUUGUAACCUCCAUGAGUUGAGUUAAGACCGGCGUGAGCCAGGUCGGUUCUUAUCUAUUGUUGUGAUUUGCUAGUACGAAAGGAUCGCAGAUCGUUUUUUU
Molecule: ribosomal RNA, 977 nt
Rfam family: Bacterial large subunit ribosomal RNA (bases 633-977)